CCUUUGUAUGAAGAGUAUUAGUAAAAGCCAUUGAGAAGAUACUGUAGAUUGCCUGUUGUCUUGACCUUCAUCAAGCCUGUGUACAUGUCAGAACCGGCGCCAGACACAAAUUCACGGACGGGCAUUACAUUUUUUUCAGGGGGGCACAACUGAGAUAAACCUAAUUCCCUAAUUGCAUAAUAACAUUAAAUGAUAUGACCGAUUAUGAAUUGAAUAUGUAUGAUACAAUGACAAUGAUCGAUAGUAGCCUGUUACAUAAUGUACUGACGCUAUUCAAAUUCAUAACUGACGCUAAAGAUUUGUGCUGUUUAGGCUUGCGCAGCCUCUCGAUGAAACAAACAGGCCUAACUGCAGCUCACACAAAGAAACUCAGUUAGCAUACUGCGGUAAAAAAUUUAAAAUGUGUAAGUUAGUUUUUAUAUUUAUAACAUGAAGCAACACCAUACAACCAAGUGCUGAAUACCAUCACGAUUGAAAAUGUAACACUGAUUUCGACAGUUCAAUAAACAAGUAAUUCAUAUUAAGUCACUUACAUUUUAGAUGCAAUAUUGACUUUUUGUUCUAUUUUAAAACAAAGAUCCCAGCAGAAACAGAACGCAUCUCACAGUCAACCGCCUGCCACCUGUGGCCGUGACGUCCCUUGCUUGAGGCUAUGGCUUUGGCAAGUAACGUUAGACCAACUAGUAUUGCUGGAAUGGGUAGCCUCUGCAGUGUUGGGAGUUGGAUCGACCUCUUGUGAACUGCUACACCCUACGUCUUCUCCCCUUACCUCGCUGCUCUCUUCUGCCAACUUUGGUGGUCUUUGAUUAAAGAAACGCCGUAUAUCCAUGGUAACUGUCACACGAAAUAUCUCAGCAUAGUUGUUUAAAAAAAAAUAACAGCUAUCGUUAUUAAGCGCUACUAUGCUUAGUACACAAACAAAUAUUCCAGCGCUCACUAUCGACAAACCAAUCAAAUCCAUUUAAAAAUAUUAUUUUUUAAAUCAGACCAAACACAUUUUUAUUUUUAUUCAGGAGUUUAUUCAUCAUGUAUAUACAAAACGACAACAGUAAGUUACAGUAGCCUAUUGAUAAAAAAAUAUAAAUAAAAGUGCAAACAAGCAAGGACUGGUGGUUGGUCGACUCCAGCGGGACUACUAACAUUUACGACUAGAUUUGAUGGUCGAGUGCGGGCACAGGCGGUAAUGGGUUGCGGGAGAAUAAAACGAUUCGUGGGACUCCCUAUCUAAAUAAAACAUCCAAAAACAAAUACAUUGUUAUUCAUCUAUUGCACAAAAGCAAUAAGAACAUCUAAACAAAAUAACGAUUUACAGUCGCAAGCAUAAGUAGAUGUUCUCAUUAGCCUAUAACGUGUUUUUGCAGCGUUGUGCAAUGUAGCCAAUCACAGACAUAUGUGUUGAUUUCUAAAACGCAAUGGCCAAUCAGAUGCAUUUCAGACAAAAUCCACUCACCGCUCAAAAUGUUGGAGUUUUUGUUCAGUGCUGAAUUCUGCAUGCUACAUAAUAAAAGAGCUUUGUGAGAUCCCGAUGAAAUGAGAUGUGAGACGUGACGUAGAGUUGAUGAAGGGAGACAGGAUCAUCCAGGGCAGGCACUAGUGACUCACAGGGCGGGCCAGGCCCCCCAAUGCCCGCCCAUGGCGCCGGGACUGGUACAUGUGUGUGUGUGUGCGUGUGUGUGUGUGUGUACUUGUGUGUGUGCGUUUUUUAGUAUGCCUGUACAGUAUGUGAUUGAGGAGAAGGACUUCAGAGACCUUUCCCUGAAAAUAACACCUCCAGUGUUCAUACCCCGUCCUGAGAUAGAGGUGACAAACGCACUCAAAUCCACACACUCAAAAAGUGACCUACUUAGCACUUGUCAGAAUUUUGCAACAAAUUGAGAACGGACUACAAAUGGAUGGCACUUUUUGCAUAAACACUGUUUAAAAACAUAAAUUUCUGUUUGGACACUCCGAUUGUAGUAUACUGUAUAUGCGGUGAGUGUGUUUGUGUUUUGCAGGAGCUGGUUAGUCUGUUUCUAGAAGACCUCAAGUUGAGAUGGGGGGAAAUGUACAGGACUGAAUUACAAUGUCUAGAGAUGGGAUAUGGAUCUGGGGCCAUCUCUCUCAGUUUACUACACUGCAUUCCACAGCUCAGGGUAUUUGCUUUGGACCAGAGCCAGACAGCAGUAUGUCUAACAAUGGAAAAUGCAAGCAGACUGGGUCUACAGGACAGAGUAGAUGUCUGACAUUUAGACGUGAUUAACGG
Molecule: long non-coding RNA, 2242 nt
Organism: Xyrauchen texanus (razorback sucker)
Lineage: Eukaryota; Metazoa; Chordata; Actinopteri; Cypriniformes; Catostomidae
Exons: 3
Source: RefSeq, a predicted model, not a curated record